GGGGGGCUGUAGGUGGGGCUAAAGGGAGGCCGUGCCCAGAGGAGGAGUCAAAGGUAGGAGGAGGCGCGGGCGAGGCUGGAGGAGGCGGGGCCAAAAGGGAAGAGAGAUUGAAGCGAGGCCGGUGGAGGAGGGCCCGGAAGCCGACCAGAGGAGGGAGCCCAAAGGUGGCCACUCUGGGGAGGAGCCGGAAGGAGGCGUGACACAAAGGAAGCUCGCGGGGGUGGUGCUGAAGGUGGGAGGGACCUAGGAGAUGGGACCCAAACAAAUCCGCGGGGGGUGGUGCCCGAGGGAUGCGGAAGAGACCAAGUAGGAAGGAGCCCCAAGUAUUUUCACUUUCAAGGAACCAAGUGCGUAGUCCAGGCGAGGUUUGCUCCUCACUGCCUGGGCUAGGACUGGGCAGACAGGCCGCCAUGAGGGAGUUGCUACAGCUGGAAGACUGUGAUUCUGGAGUUGCCAGAGGCCACAUGCCCCUCCCUGUGGAGAAAGUCCAUCUGUGAUGGGCGAGAAUGGCUCCAACAAGAGAAGAGCAGCAGAAAAAAAUAAUUGAUGAAAAUAAAAAGUAAACAAAAAAGAAAAAAACAGCAUAGAGAAGAGCCUGAUGCAUUUAGAUAUCUGAAUCCAGUCAUCAAUGGGUUCAGCUCUACCCUGUGCUGUUGAUGGUUAAGUUAUGUGAGCCAAUAAAUCCCUUUUUUUUUUUUAUAACUAGUGAGAAUUGGGUUUCUAUCACUUCCAACAACAGAAUUUUUUACUAAUACAGGUAUCCCCAACAAUGGAAAAGAUGAAGAGUCUUCAAGUGGUCUCCCAGGCAACAGAUGUUCACAGACAGGGACAAGGACAAGAGAAGAAGGGCCACAUAAGGAUGAUUGCCAAUAGCUGAUCCUCUGGGGACUCCUAGGGGACACAUAUCCCCUGCUUAAUUAUUCUUUUCACACACACACACACACACCACCACACAUACACACACACUCUAAGGAUAAAGCGGAGAGCAGCUUUGAGGAAAAGGUAUUGCCAUAACACAACGCUGAGUCAGGUAUUUAUUAUUUAACCCCCUUGUAAAGCCCAGGCCCUAGGUAUGUUCUGUCACACUAUAUAAGGCGGCAAAAAAA
Hipposideros armiger (great roundleaf bat) is the source of this 1106-nucleotide long non-coding RNA. RefSeq lists it as uncharacterized. The record is from RefSeq and is a predicted model, not a curated record. The transcript has 2 exons. Lineage: Eukaryota; Metazoa; Chordata; Mammalia; Chiroptera; Hipposideridae.